This 683-nucleotide ribosomal RNA is filed under the name uncultured Ascomycota. RNAcentral's name for it is "eukaryotic LSU rRNA". The stretch from base 216 to 369 matches the Rfam family "5.8S ribosomal RNA". The record is from RNAcentral. Lineage: Eukaryota; Fungi; Ascomycota.
CUUGGUCAUUUAGAGGAAGUAAAAGUCGUAACAAGGUUUCCGUAGGUGAACCUGCGGAAGGAUCAUUCAUAAUAAGUGUUUUAUGGCACUUUUUAAAUCCAUAUCCACCCUGUGUGCAAUGUCAGUCGAUCUUCUUCAUGGAGAUCGACCAAACAUCAACCUUUAUUUUUUAACUCUUUGUCUGAAAAAUAUUAUGAAUAAACAAUUCAAAAUACAACUUUCAACAACGGAUCUCUUGGCUCUCGCAUCGAUGAAGAACGCAGCGAAAUGCGAUACGUAAUGUGAAUUGCAGAAUUCAGUGAAUCAUCGAAUCUUUGAACGCAUAUUGCGCUCUUUGGUAUUCCGAAGAGCAUGCUUGUUUGAGUAUCAGUAAACACCUCAAAGCUUUUGGAUUUUUUAAUCGAAAAGCUUUGGACUUGAGCAAUCCCAACACCAAUCUUUUUGAGAUCGGUGGCGGGUUGCUUGAAAUGCAGGUGCAGCUGGACAUUCUCCUGAGCUAAAAGCAUAUUCAUUUAGUCCCGUCAAACGGAUUAUUACUUUUGCUGCAGCUAACAUAAAGGGAGUUUGACCGUAUUGGCUGACUGAUGCAGGAUUUCACAAGGGUCGGCAACGAUUCUUGUUAAACUCGAUCUCAAAUCAAGUAAGACUACCCGCUGAACUUAAGCAUAUCAAUAAGCGGAGGA